UCCAAAGCCUCAGCGAGGCUCCAUUUGACUGUUGUAAGAUCAGAAUGAGCAUGCAGACCCACUGAGUUGACUGGCAAAGCUUUACUAUGGAUAACCACAGAUGCAACCGCAUGCUGUGUCUUUAGGAAAAUGGGAGCAAGUGGAUUGUGUCAGAUGUCCAAAUGGUAACCAUCACCUACUCAACUGGAGGAGACUAUUUUUGUGCCCGAUUUGCUUGCUGGAAACUGCAGAACUUCAAUGUCUGCAGUGAAAAUGGAAAGAAAAGAAAACCAGUUGUCUGCCUUGGUGAUGAGAGCAGAAAGUCAAGAGCAGCAAUAUAGGCAGCUAACAAGCAUUUAAUGGUGAGGGAACAAGAGAAGGGAGGAAAGGCAGGGGGCUCAAGGUCAUGGCCAAGAUAUGUUUUUCCUACUCAGAAUUAGGUCUGGGCCUGACCAUGUUCCUAUAGACCAAAUUCUGUCCUCCAGAAAUAGGUACAGUGACCCACACAUAAAAGGCAUUAUAAGCAAAUGAGGUGCCUCUUUAAUUCUUCGAUGAGCUCUAAAAGUUAUCUUUACAGUUUAGUUAUAGUCAGAGCAACUGUUAGAGAACCUUGGUUUUUUUCCCAAAGAAAAAGAGUUGCCACUGUGAGAAAUAACUGGGAUUUCCUGACAUUAAAAAAUAAUAACAGACAUAUUAGUCCCUUUAUUGUUAAGUAAAAGAAGGAAAUGGGCAGGAACCACUAUGCAUUGAAGAGGAAAGUAUUGAGCUUCCAAAUAUAUCCUGGGAAACAUGUAAUACUUCCCUGAACAUAGGGAAAUGUGGCUGAGAUUCUCAGCACAGAAGUAUGUUUGCCACAUGCAAAGCACAUAAUAGAAGUGAUAGGGACAGGGCAGAGAAAUUCUAGGCAGAAAAAGAUGGGUCCCCAGGGAAACCCCAUCCUUAUGCUGAAAAGCCUGAAACCACAGUCCAAAGUGAGAACUUAUACCCCUGUUUUCCUGCUCAAAUGUUGUCUUUUCCUAAAACCACCCAUGGCUCCCACUCCACCCUAUCCUGUGCCUAUAAAAACCCCAGAUUCAGCUGGUAGACAGGACUACAGCUGGACAUUGGAGAGAAGCAGCUUGACUUCAGAAGGACAGCUUGAUGGCAUAUAACUUCGGAGAAGCAUCCUGCCGGAGACAGCUGGGCUUCAGAGGAAGAUUACCUACCCACUCUGUCCCCUUUUCAGCUCCCCUUCCCACUGAGAGCUACUUUCAUUGGCAAUAAAGUCCCCUGCAUUUAUCAUC
Molecule: long non-coding RNA, 1262 nt
Filed under: Homo sapiens (human)
Lineage: Eukaryota; Metazoa; Chordata; Mammalia; Primates; Hominidae
Description: HSALNT0328902
Source: RNAcentral